RNAcentral lists this ribosomal RNA (18 nucleotides) under Capsicum chinense (habanero). Its description in RNAcentral is "partial 18S ribosomal RNA". The record is from RNAcentral. Lineage: Eukaryota; Viridiplantae; Streptophyta; Magnoliopsida; Solanales; Solanaceae.
GCGGAAGGAUCAUUGUCG